UAAUACAUGCAAGUCGAGGGGUAGAGAGAGCUUGCUUUCUUGAGACCGGCGCACGGGUGCGUAACGCGUAUGCAACCUACCUUUAUCUGGGGGAUAGCCCGGAGAAAUCCGGAUUAAUACCGCAUAAAAUCACAGAAUAGCAUUAUUUAAUGAUCAAACAUUUAUGGGAUGAAGAUGGGCAUGCGUGUCAUUAGCUAGUUGGCGGGGUAACGGCCCACCAAGGCGACGAUGACUAGGGGAUCUGAGAGGAUGGCCCCCCACACUGGUACUGAGACACGGACCAGACUCCUACGGGAGGCAGCAGUAAGGAAUAUUGGUCAAUGGAGGCAACUCUGAACCAGCCAUGCCGCGUGCAGGAAGACUGCCCUAUGGGUUGUAAACUGCUUUUAUCCGGGAAUAAACCUUUCUACGUGUAGGAAGCUGAAUGUACCGGAAGAAUAAGGAUCGGCUAACUCCGUGCCAGCAGCCGCGGUAAUACGGAGGAUCCAAGCGUUAUCCGGAUUUAUUGGGUUUAAAGGGUGCGUAGGCGGCCUGUUAAGUCAGGGGUGAAAGACGGUAGCUCAACUAUCGCAGUGCCCUUGAUACUGAUGGGCUUGAAUGGACUAGAGGUAGGCGGAAUGAGACAAGUAGCGGUGAAAUGCAUAGAUAUGUCUCAGAACACCGAUUGCGAAGGCAGCUUACUAUGGUCUUAUUGACGCUGAGGCACGAAAGCGUGGGGAUCAAACAGGAUUAGAUACCCUGGUAGUCCACGCCCUAAACGAUGAACACUCGCUGUUGGCGAUACACAGUCAGCGGCUAAGCGACAGCGUUAAGUGUUCCACCUGGGGAGUACGCCCGCAAGGGUGAAACUCAAAGGAAUUGACGGGGGCCCGCACAAGCGGAGGAGCAUGUGGUUUAAUUCGAUGAUACGCGAGGAACCUUACCCGGGCUUGAAAGUUAGUGAAUGAUCUAGAGAUAGAUCAGUGAGCAAUCACACGAAACUAGGUGCUGCAUGGCUGUCGUCAGCUCGUGCCGUGAGGUGUUGGGUUAAGUCCUGCAACGAGCGCAACCCCUAUGUUUAGUUGCCAGCAUGUAAUGAUGGGGACUCUAAACAGACUGCCUGUGCAAACAGAGAGGAAGGAGGGGACGACGUCAAGUCAUCAUGGCCCUUACGUCCGGGGCUACACACGUGCUACAAUGGAUGGUACAGAGGGCAGCUAGCUGGCAACAGUAUGCGAAUCUCACAAAGCCAUUCACAGUUCGGAUUGGGGUCUGCAACUCGACCCCAUGAAGUUGGAUUCGCUAGUAAUCGCGUAUCAGCAAUGACGCGGUGAAUACGUUCCCGGGCCUUGUACACACCGCCCGUCAAGCCAUGGAAGUUGGGGGUACCUAAAGUAUGUAACCGCAAGGAGCGUCCUAGGGUAAAACCGAUAACUGGGGCU
This 1421-nucleotide ribosomal RNA is filed under the name uncultured organism. RNAcentral describes it as "SSU rRNA". It matches the Rfam family "Bacterial small subunit ribosomal RNA". The record is from RNAcentral.